ACGGGAGGCAGCAGUGGGGAAUAUUGCGCAAUGGGGGAAACCCUGACGCAGCAACGCCGCGUGAGUGAAGAAGUAUCUCGGUAUGUAAACUUCUAUCAGCAGGGAAGAUAAUGACGGUACCUGACUAAGAAGCCCCGGCUAACUACGUGCCAGCAGCCGCGGUAAUACGUAGGGGGCAAGCGUUAUCCGGAUUUACUGGGUGUAAAGGGAGCGUAGACGGAAUGGCAAGUCUGGUGUGAAAGGCAUGGGCUCAACCCGUGGACUGCACUGGAAACUGUCGUUCUUGAGUGCCGGAGGGGUAAGCGGAAUUCCUAGUGUAGCGGUGGAAUGCGUAGAUAUUAGGAGGAACACCAGUGGCGAAGGCGGCUUACUGGACGGUAACUGACGUUGAGGCUCGAAAGCGUGGGGAGCAAACAGGAUUAGAUACCCUGGUA
Molecule: ribosomal RNA, 434 nt
Filed under: uncultured Blautia sp.
Lineage: Bacteria; Bacillati; Bacillota; Clostridia; Lachnospirales; Lachnospiraceae
Description: partial 16S ribosomal RNA
Rfam family: Bacterial small subunit ribosomal RNA
Source: RNAcentral